AUGAAGGCAGGGGAGAUAUCAUGAUCACGAAAGUGGUUUUCUCAGGCCGAGCCUUAUCCAUUGCACUCCAGAUGUGCUGACCCCUGCAAUUUCCCCAAAUGUGAGAAACUCGACUGCGUAAUUUGUGGUAGUGGGGGGCUGUGUUCACGCUCUCCCCUG
Molecule: small nuclear RNA, 159 nt
Filed under: Echinops telfairi (small Madagascar hedgehog)
Lineage: Eukaryota; Metazoa; Chordata; Mammalia; Afrosoricida; Tenrecidae
Description: U1 spliceosomal RNA (ENSETEG00000020424.1)
Rfam family: U1 spliceosomal RNA
About the family: U1 is a small nuclear RNA (snRNA) component of the spliceosome (involved in pre-mRNA splicing).
Source: RNAcentral